Molecule: long non-coding RNA, 763 nt
Organism: Scatophagus argus
Lineage: Eukaryota; Metazoa; Chordata; Actinopteri; Scatophagidae
Exons: 3
Source: RefSeq, a predicted model, not a curated record
ACAACAAUUUGAAAUGCAUUCAUGUAAGACCCUUUGAGAUAUGUGUUUGGAACACCGUGAUGUGGUCAGACUGGAGGCUGUGUGUGUGAAGGUUUGUGUAUGCUUCAGGAGUGGAAAACUGUUUCUGUUAUGAUUGCAAAAUUACAAAAACAUGCUUGGGUCUACAUUACGCUACAUUAAAAAGUACCCAGAAAAUACCCAGCAAGUAAUAAAUUGAUUUUUUUUUCUUUUUUCACUCAGGCAGAGUAUCCAGCCUUGCAGAUAGUUUGGCUUUUACAGUGUCCAGGUUACCCCCUGUGGUUCAUUGCUCCCCAUGCCAUGUUGUCUCUGCUGGUCCCCUGGCAACCUUACUGUGACAACAGUGAUUAGUUGGACCGAAGAGUCAACGUCCAUGUUCGAGAAACGGUGGCUUCGUGCAUCACGUUGCAUACAGCAGUGCUGAGACUUUAGAGAGGAUAAACAUCCUCUGUACAUCAGCGGUACGUGACAGCUGUGGUGCUUUGUGAUCUACAGGGCUGGACUGGCGCCAGAAUAAAACACACCAUAUACGCAGCUGUGGAGGAGGAAAGAGCUAAGGAUGCUUAUCCCACGUGAUGAUGUGUAUGCUUUGCUCUGGGCAGUCUCAACCUCUGCGUGAUCAGUUUCCACUGGAACUACUUUCUGCAGAAGAAACAGUCAUUGGAUUGUAGCAGAGUUACAGGGAAACUGAUUUUGGAAAGAUGAACUGCUGAGGAAUGUUUUCUAAAAAUGUGAUUUUUCUACA